GGGUGCCCGAGUGGCGAACGGGUGAGUAACACGUGAGUAACCUGCCCUUGACUUUGGGAUAACUUCAGGAAACUGGGGCUAAUACCGGAUAGGAGCUCCUGCUGCAUGGUGGGGGUUGGAAAGUUUCGGCGGUUGGGGAUGGACUCGCGGCUUAUCAGCUUGUUGGUGGGGGUAGUGGCUUACCAAGGCUUUGACGGGUAGCCGGCCUGAGAGGGUGACCGGCCACAUUGGGACUGAGAUACGGCCCAG
Molecule: ribosomal RNA, 249 nt
Filed under: uncultured Actinomycetales bacterium
Lineage: Bacteria; Bacillati; Actinomycetota; Actinomycetes; Actinomycetales
Description: partial 16S ribosomal RNA
Rfam family: Bacterial small subunit ribosomal RNA
Source: RNAcentral